GCUGAUCAGUAGCUGGUCUGAGAGGACGACCAGCCACACUGGAACUGAGACACGGUCCAGACUCCUACGGGAGGCAGCAGUGGGGAAUUUUGGACAAUGGGCGCAAGCCUGAUCCAGCAAUGCCGCGUGAGUGAAGAAGGCCUUCGGGUUGUAAAGCUCUUUUGUCAGGGAAGAAACGGUGAGGGCUAAUAUCCCUUGCUAAUGACGGUACCUGAAGAAUAAGCACCGGCUAACUACGUGCCAGCAGCCGCGGUAAUACGUAGGGUGCAAGCGUUAAUCGGAAUUACUGGGCGUAAAGCGUGCGCAGGCGGUUUUGUAAGUUUGUCGUGAAAUCCCCGGGCUCAACCUGGGAAUGGCGAUGAAGACUGCAAGGCUAGAGUUUGGCAGAGGGGGGUAGGAUUCCACGUGUAGCAGUGAAAUGCGUAGAUAUGUGGAGGAACACCGAUGGCGAAGGCAGCCCCCUGGGUCAAAACUGACGCUCAUGCACGAAAGCGUGGGGAGCAAACAGGAUUAGAUACCCUGGUAGUCCACGCCCUAAACGAUGUCUACUAGUUGUCGGGUCCUAAUUGACUUGGUAACGCAGCUAACGCGUGAAGUAGACCGCCUGGGGAGUACGGUCGCAAGAUUAAAACUCAAAGGAAUUGACGGGGACCCGCACAAGCGGUGGAUGAUGUGGAUUAGUUCGAUGCAACGCGAAAAACCUUACCUACCCUUGACAUGGAUGGAAUCCCGGAGAGAUUUGGGAGUGCUCGAAAGAGAACCAUCACACAGGUGCUGCAUGGCUGUCGUCAGCUCGUGUCGAGAGAUGUUGGGUUAAGUCCCGCAACGAGCGCAACCCUUGUCAUUAGUUGCUACGAAAGAGCACUCUAAUGAGACUGCCGGUGACAAACCGGAGGAAGGUGGGGAUGACGUCAAGUCCUCAUGGCCCUUAUGGGUAGGGCUUCACACGUCAUACAAUGGUACAUACAGAGGGCCGCCAACCCGCGAGGGGGAGCUAAUCCCAGAAAGUGUAUCGUAGUCCGGAUUGUAGUCUGCAACUCGACUGCAUGAAGUUGGAAUCGCUAGUAAUCGCGGAUCAGCAUGUCGCGGUGAAUACGUUCCCGGGUCUUGUACACACCGCCCGUCACACCAUGGGAGCGGGUUUUACCAGAAGUAGGUAGCUUAACCGUAAGGAGGGCGCUUACCACGGUAGGAUUCGUGACUGGGGUGAAGUCGGAACAAGGUA
This 1225-nucleotide ribosomal RNA is filed under the name metagenome. Its description in RNAcentral is "bacterial SSU rRNA". It matches the Rfam family "Bacterial small subunit ribosomal RNA", at positions 275 to 1498 of the family's 1533-position model. The record is from RNAcentral.